GGUAGAGGUAAUUUGGGAGAUUUUCUGAGAGGGGAAAGUCAUCACUGGGGAUCUGCAGAGAAACUCAUCCUUGUUUUGAUGCAGGAAAUUUGGGAUCUCCUCCAUCAAUUUCCCUGUUUUACUACAGGAAAUUUGGGAUCUCCUCCAAAAGAAAGAAAAUCAGUCACCCCACCAAACUCUGCUCUGAGGAGAAACACAUCCCUGUUUUGUUACAGGAAAUUCGGGACCUCCUCCACCAGUUUCCCUGUUUAUCCCUCUUUUGAUGCAGGAAAUUUGGGAUCUCCUCCA
Long non-coding RNA from Melozone crissalis (California towhee), 288 nucleotides. RefSeq lists it as uncharacterized. The record is from RefSeq and is a predicted model, not a curated record. The transcript is spliced from 2 exons. Lineage: Eukaryota; Metazoa; Chordata; Aves; Passeriformes; Passerellidae.